RNAcentral lists this ribosomal RNA (486 nucleotides) under Streptococcus gordonii. RNAcentral describes it as "bacterial SSU rRNA". It matches the Rfam family "Bacterial small subunit ribosomal RNA", at positions 28 to 489 of the family's 1533-position model. The record is from RNAcentral. Lineage: Bacteria; Bacillati; Bacillota; Bacilli; Lactobacillales; Streptococcaceae.
GACGAACGCUGGCGGCGUGCCUAAUACAUGCAAGUAGAACGCACAGUUUAUACCGUAGCUUGCUACACCAUAGACUGUGAGUUGCGAACGGGUGAGUAACGCGUAGGUAACCUGCCUGGUAGCGGGGGAUAACUAUUGGAAACGAUAGCUAAUACCGCAUAAUAUUAAUUAUUGCAUGAUAAUUGAUUGAAAGAUGCAACUGCAUCACUACCAGAUGGACCUGCGUUGUAUUAGCUAGUAGGUGAGGUAACGGCUCACCUAGGCGACGAUACAUAGCCGACCUGAGAGGGUGAUCGGCCACACUGGGACUGAGACACGGCCCAGACUCCUACGGGAGGCAGCAGUAGGGAAUCUUCGGCAAUGGACGAAAGUCUGACCGGGCAACGCCGCGUGAGUGAAGAAGGUUUUCGGAUCGUAAAGCUCUGUUGUAAGAGAAGAACGGGUGUGAGAGUGGAAAGUUCACACUGUGACGGUAUCUACCAGAAA